AAAUUUACGUCUUUGUUUCUUUAAUAAAGUUAUUAGCAAUUAAAUGGUCAUGGAGAAUUUGUUUAUCCAUAAAUCCUCUCUGUGUAUGUAUGAUGGGAAGAUAGAAUGGCUUGAUGCUACAACAUCGUUUGAUUUUAUUUGAAGUUAUUUUGCUCUUUGAAGUGUUAGAGCAUGGCUGGUAUUACAAGUAUAUAAGACCAUCAGCUUUUUAUAUUUCCUGUGAGUUUUGGGAGUUUUGAAGUUUUUGUAAACUUCCGUGUGUCUGUAUUCCUUCUCAUCCCACCUAGGUAACACUGUGAUGUUUCA
Molecule: long non-coding RNA, 306 nt
Filed under: Bos taurus (domestic cattle)
Lineage: Eukaryota; Metazoa; Chordata; Mammalia; Artiodactyla; Bovidae
Description: long non-coding RNA NONBTAT002920
Source: RNAcentral